CCAAGCGUAUACGGGCACACGACGGAUGCCUUGGCAUCACGAGGCGAUGAAGGACGCGGCAAGCUGCGAAAAGCCCCGGGGAGCGGCAAGCUCGCUCAGAUCCGGGGGUGUCCGAAUGGGGCAACCCCGCACCCGUCAUGGGGUGCGAUCCCGCGCUGAACACAUAGGCGCGAGGAGGCGACACCGGGGGAAGUGAAACAUCUCAGUACCCCGAGGAAGAGAAAUCAACAGAGACUGCGCAAGUAGUGGCGAGCGAACGCGCAAGAGCCCAAACCGGACGGUUCACCGUCCGGGGUUGCGGGACCGCGGCGCGGCACGCGCGCGGCGAGGCGAACGGCCUGGAAAGGCCGGCGGCACAGGGUGACAGCCCCGUAGCCGGAAGCCUGCGCGCGGCCUAGCGGUAUCCCGAGUAAGGCGGGACACGUGAAACCCUGCCCGAAUCCGGGGGGCCCACCCUCCAAGGCUAAGUACUCCGUGAUGACCGAUAGUGGACAAGUACCGCGAGGGAAAGGUGAAAAGAACCCCUGCUAGGGGAGUGAAAGAGACCUGAAAUCGUGUGCCCACAAGCUAUGGCGGCGUCCUUCGGGACGUUGCCGUUUGCCUUUUGCAUAAUGAGUCCGCGAGUCACCCUGUGCGGCGAGGUUAACCGAAAGGGGAGCCGCAGCGAAAGCGAGUCCUAACCGGGCGCCGCAGUCGCACGGGGUGGACCCGAAGCCCGGCGAGCUACCCAUGGCCAGGAUGAAGCCCCCGUAACAGGGGGUGGAGGUCCGAACGAGUCUCCGUUGAAAAGGGGUUCGAUGAGCUGUGGGUUGGAGUGAAAGGCUUAUCAAGCCGGGUGAUAGCUGGUUCUCCCCGAAAUGCCUUUAGGGGCAGCCUCGGGCAAUGCAACCUGCGGAGGUAGAGCACUGAUUGGUCUAGGGCCCUUGCCGGGGUACCGAAGCCUGUCAAACUCCGAAUGCCGCAGGCGUCAGCCCGGGAGUGAGACUGUGGGGGCUAAGCUUCACAGUCGAGAGGGAAACAGCCCAGACCGCCGGAUAAGGCCCCCAAACCGCGCUAAGUCACUAAGGAUGUGGGGUUUCAGAGACAGCCAGGAUGUUGGCUUAGAGGCAGCCAUCAUUUAAACAGUGCGUAACAGCUGACUGGUCGAGAGAUCCCGCGCCGAAAAUGAUCGGGAGUCAAGCGCGGUGCCGAAUCCGCGGAGCGAGAGCUGGUAGGGGAGCGUUGCCUGACGGGCUGAAGCCGCGCGCGGAAGCGGCGGUGGACUUCAGGCAAGUGAUUAUGCGGACAUGAGUAACGAAAAACCGGGUGAGAAUCCCGGUCGCCGGAAUCCCAAGGUUUCCCGGGGCAGGUUCGUCCGCCCGGGGUUAGCCGGUCCUAAGCCGAGGCCGAAGGGCGCAGGCGAUGGACAUCAGGUGAAUAUUCCUGAGCUUCCGGCAAGGGUUUGACCGACGGGGAGCCCGGAAGGACAGGCGGGGGUGCCGAUGGAUGCAUCCUUUACGGCGCGGGGCGCGCGGCAGGCAAAUCCGCCGCGCACGGGCCUUAGCGCCGCGACGAGCGGGAAGCUCGCUUCCCGCAAGCCGCCGACUCCAUGCCGGCCAGAAAAACCCCUAGGGACCGAGCCGGAAACCGUACCUAAACCGACACAGGUGGGAAGGUAUCAGAGUACCGAGGCGCGCGAGAGAAACCUCGUUAAGGAACUCGGCAAUCUAGCCCCGUAACUUCGGAAGAAGGGGUCCCCGGCGCGAGCCGGGGCUCAGUGAACGGGCCCAUGCGACUGUUUAACAAAAACACAGCACUCUGCAAACCCGCAAGGGGACGUAUAGAGUGUGACACGUGACCAAUGCGGAAAGGUCAAGGCGAGGGGUCAGCCGCGAGGCGAAGCUCCGAACCGAAGCCCCCGUGAAUGUCGGCCGUAACUAUAACGGUCCUAAGGUAGCGAAAUUCCUUGUCGGGU
This 1954-nucleotide ribosomal RNA is filed under the name biogas fermenter metagenome. RNAcentral describes it as "bacterial LSU rRNA". It matches the Rfam family "Bacterial large subunit ribosomal RNA", at positions 1 to 1977 of the family's 2925-position model. The record is from RNAcentral.